This 355-nucleotide transfer-messenger RNA is filed under the name Mesorhizobium sp. LHD-90. It matches the Rfam family "Alphaproteobacteria transfer-messenger RNA". From Rfam's summary of the family: Bacterial tmRNA, also known as 10Sa RNA or SsrA, is named for its dual tRNA and mRNA-like properties. Its role is to liberate the mRNA from a stalled ribosome. The record is from RNAcentral. Lineage: Bacteria; Pseudomonadati; Pseudomonadota; Alphaproteobacteria; Hyphomicrobiales; Phyllobacteriaceae.
GGGCUUUCAAUUCGCGCGCACGCCCCCUAUAUUCGUUUCGUCAGCUUGCUGACUAUGGCGAUAAACAGGCGAUGCAAUAAGCCGUUCGGACCCGGGGGCGGUACCCGGCGCCUCCACCAAAAGCCGUCGAAAAGGACGGUUUCUGAUGGGGGCGAAAUAGGAUCGACGAAGGUGUAAAGAUCGUUCUUUUGCCCGGCAUUGUACCGCCGUUAUCGGGCUAAACUUAUAGUUGCCAACGACAACUAUGCUGAGGCACGUCUCGCUGCUUAAUGCGGCGCGAUAGUCUCGAAUCAAGUCCUGUGGGUUAGCACCUUCAGGCGGGGUCCGGAGGCACCUGGCAACAGAAGCCUCCACU